This 3139-nucleotide long non-coding RNA is filed under the name Pan troglodytes (chimpanzee). Its description in RNAcentral is "lincRNA". The record is from RNAcentral. Lineage: Eukaryota; Metazoa; Chordata; Mammalia; Primates; Hominidae.
AUAGUUCAAGCCUGAAUUUCAAUGAGAUGGGAACACUUUUUAGUAUAAACGCAAGAUUUUCAUGUCUCCCUUUUAGGAAAAAUAGGGAUUAUGGCGUUCAUCUGUUUCAUCCAGAACUCGAAGCAAAACCCUAAACCUCAGACUCUUCCAGCAUGUCUGAUCCAAUCAAACAAGGGAAGAUGCUGCGGGUGCUUUGUAUGCUAAGGAAGUGCUACGAUGCCAUCGUCUGUCCAGGAAAAGAAAGGAACACCCAUCCAUGUGGUUAAGCCAUCAGAAAACUGGAGCAUUGGGAAUAAAGGAAUUAUUUCCAUGAGACAAGCACGCCAGCCAUUGGCUCAUAAUGAGCUGAAAGACCAAUGACUGCUUCUCAGAGACUCCCAAGGGCCCAGUGUCCUGGGGGCAGACCUGUGGCUGAGUCAGCAUGGUGCACAGCAGAAAGUGGGGGGAGAGUGGCCAGCGCUGCCCCGGCGGGCUCUGUCUGCAUCACCUGGAGCGGCACAGACCCUUCAGUCUCCAUUCUCUCUUCAGGAAAGAGGCCUACUCGCAGAUGAACACACCAAGGCUCAGAGACAAAGCAAAUCCGUGGGAUGCCGAGGGCACUUGGAUAACUUCCGCUCUGGAGAGAAGCCCAAACUCCGCGUCCCGGAGACCUGAAGUGUGGCCGCCAGUGGACACCCAGCUGAGGGAUGAGCAGCAAUGAAUGAGAGUUCCUAUUGCUCCACGUCCUCACCGCAUUUGCUGCUAUCUGUGCCCUGGAUUUGGGCCAUUCUGAUAGGUGUGUGGUAUCCAGUAGGUGUGUCUCGUUGUUUUAAUUUGCAUUUCUCUGAUGACAUAUGAUGUGGAUUAUCUUUUCAUCUGCUCAUUUGCCGUCUAUAUAUCUUCUCUGAGGCAUCUGCUCAGAUCUUUGCCUUUGGCCUUUUGUUAUCUUUAAAACACAGAAGGUGGUGCAGGGUGUGUUAAGAAGGCAUGUCUGGGCAAGUGGGUGCCUUUGCCUCUCCCUGCUGCCCCCGCACAGGAUUUCUCCAGGCUGUCUUGUCACCCAAUUCUAUUUGGUUGGGGCCACAUUUACCAGGGAUCCCCACUAUCCCAAAACUCUGCUUGAACACAUUGUCUGUCCAGGAGGGGCCUGUCGAGCUGCAAUUUAUGUUCUAUAGGUUCAGGCAGCUGCUGCUAAAGUGACAAAGUGACUCUCUGACCUGGUUUGCUGAGAUAGUCACAGAUGACACCUCUUAUCCUGGCUUAAUGGUUACAACUCCCACCCCACCAAAGUAUCUCAGUUUGGACAAUAACCACAGUUAUUAUCCUUGGGAAAGGACAUUUGGGCUCUGACAUCUGGCCUGGCUGAAUCACCUCCUCCCUGUUGGAGGGGGUCAGGGGUCAGGGUUGCUUCCCUGAAGCUCUGGAAAGGCCAGUGAAGGUGAAGGAGGUGUGACAGUAGAAACUGCUGCGAAGAGCAGACUCCUCUGUCCAUGGGCAGGGACCUCAAAGGCUUUCACUUCACACCCACCUCCAUCAACGUCAAUGGUCACCAAGGUCCUGAAGCCUUCCUGAAUUUCUUCCUGCAUUUCUCCAACCAGAGCAAUUCUCUUUCUUUGAGUCCUCAAGUCCACACUGAGCUUCUUUCUCCUCCCUUAGCACAUUCCUUCUCCUGAGAGACAGCUUAACAUGCAGCAGCUCUGUGACCUUGGGCCUCAGUUUCCCCAUCUGCAAAAUGAGGAGGGUCAUAGUGCCUGUCUCAGAGAGUCAUGAAGAGGAUAAAGUGAAUGAAUACAUGUAAUGUGCUGGGAGCAGCUUCGGACACAUGGAAAUGUUCGCUAUCAUUUUAAGCACUGAAUCUUAUCUUCCCUCCAGAUUGUAAGCAUCUUUCCUUUAAAAGAGCAAAGUUCAAAGUUAUGUGUUGAGUAAUGACCACACGCCAGGUGCUUUCACACCCACAUCAAUGCUCCAGACUCCAAGAGCUGGCGGUCAUUGGAUCCACUUCAUAGGGUGGAGAAGAGGAGGUUCAGAGAGGUGAACUAACGGGCCCAGGUCACACAGCAGAGCAGUGAAAAGGUCAUGGAUGGCUUAAAAUACCAGCCCUUCCUUCACCCUCCUUCAGCCUCUUUGUCUCUCUCUCUCUUUCUCACACACACACACACACACACACACACACACACACACACACACUCCCUUCAUAAAAAUCUCACAAUGGCAAGUGUCUUAUAUGAGACACACAGAGGAGAAGGUCCUGUGAAGAGGGAGGCAGAGAUUGGAGAAUCACAGCCAUAAGUCAAGGAAGGCCGACAACCACCAGAAGCUGGAAGGGGUAAGAGCAGCUUCCCCGCGCUGUUUCUAGAGGGUGCAUGGCCCUGCCAGUACCUUGAUUUUGGACUUCUGGCUUCCACAGUUGUGAGAUAACACACUUUCCUUGUUUUACGUCAACAUUUUGUGUAAUUUAUCUCGGCUGCCACAGAAAGCGAAUAGAAAUCGUUUUCCCUCAGCGCAACCUGGUGAUGCACGUGCUCACUUUGAAAACACGUCAUUUCCACCUGCAAAGGUUUUAGGUUCCUCAAAGGGACUGUGCAGAGGGAUCGCUGCAAGUGAAGUCAACAUUUGGCCUCAUUCUGUUAGAACACCUGCAAGAGGAGGCUCAGGUGCUGACUGAACAAAUCCCCUGGCUCUUGGGGUGGUCCAUGCCUUUACCGAAUGCCUCCUUUGUUGGGGUCAUUCUCCUGGGAAGACAUUCCCAUUGGAAGAUACUGGACCUUUCCUUUACCAUGUCAGGCAUGACACUCCUACGUUAAAAAACUGUCCAUACCAAGGGCAUGACAGGCAAUUCAUAGAAGAAAGCAGGAUGAUCAAUGGCCUAUGAAAGGAUCCUCAGCUGUGGCUAGGCGCGGUGGCUCACCUCUGUAAUCCCAGCACUUUGGGAGGCCAAGGCAAGAGGAUCACUUGAGCCCAGGCGUUCGAGACUGGCAUGGGAAACAUGGCAAAACCCCAUCUCUAUAAAAACUUAGCUGGGUGUGGUGGCAUGUGCCUGGAGUCCCAGCUACUCAGGAGGCUGAGGUGGGAAGAUCAUCUAAGCCCAGAAGGUUGAGGCCGCAGUGAGCCACCAUCGUACCACUGCACUCCAGCCUGGAUGACAGAGUGAAACCCUGUC